This 25-nucleotide non-coding RNA is filed under the name Mus musculus (house mouse). Lineage: Eukaryota; Metazoa; Chordata; Mammalia; Rodentia; Muridae. The record is from RNAcentral.
UGGAACAUCUCUUAUACACAGCCUA